AUCUGGUGGUAAGGGCAAGCCUCCAGUAACUUCUUGAAUCUUCCCCAGUAUUCAUACAAAGUCUCCCCAUCUCGUUGCAUAAUGCAAGAGAUCUCUCUUCGCAGCUU
Molecule: small nucleolar RNA, 107 nt
Organism: Arachis duranensis
Lineage: Eukaryota; Viridiplantae; Streptophyta; Magnoliopsida; Fabales; Fabaceae
Source: RefSeq, a predicted model, not a curated record